AUGAAAAACAGGAGCGGGAAAAAGAAAGAGGCAGGAGAGAGAAAGAGAGAGUCUCCUCCUCCUCCUUCUCCUCCUCUUUCCCCCCUUCCCAACCCUUCUCUCCCCUCAUUUUCUAGCUGUUAUCUAGGGGCUGGGGAGCCACCGUCCUUCCGCAGAGCUUUAAUUGGUUUGCUCUGGUCCUCCAGCAUCAUUCCAAAGCCUUCAUUUGAUAUUGUUGGUCAUUACGGUUUGGUGGCUCUUUUUCUCCUCUUCUUAAAUAAUGGUGUCGAGCACAGGUUUACUCCUGAUUUCACCUCUCUCCCCCAGAAAUACAGAUUUCAUUAUAUAAAUGCCCUUCUUCAUAAAAUCAUAAGAAAUAACAAGAAAGCGCAUCUCAGUCUACUUUUAAAGUGCAGCAGCUGCUUUCUAGCACUCCUGUGCAGUGUUUGAGGAUGGAAUGGGCUGCUGCAGGUCUGGCACAUCAUGUCGACUGUUUGCAGAGAGUCGCGAGGACAAAGGAAAACAAAAUAAUAAAUCAACACUCAGCAACA
RNAcentral lists this long non-coding RNA (530 nucleotides) under Anser cygnoides (Swan goose). RNAcentral describes it as "lncRNA (ENSACDG00005012215.1)". The record is from RNAcentral. Lineage: Eukaryota; Metazoa; Chordata; Aves; Anseriformes; Anatidae.